Molecule: ribosomal RNA, 909 nt
Filed under: Enterococcus faecium
Lineage: Bacteria; Bacillati; Bacillota; Bacilli; Lactobacillales; Enterococcaceae
Description: bacterial SSU rRNA
Rfam family: Bacterial small subunit ribosomal RNA
Source: RNAcentral
GGGGAUCUAUACAUGCAGUCGACGCUUCUUUUUCCACCGGAGCUUGCUCCACCGGAAAAAGAGGAGUGGCGAACGGGUGAGUAACACGUGGGUAACCUGCCCAUCAGAAGGGGAUAACACUUGGAAACAGGUGCUAAUACCGUAUAACAAUCAAAACCGCAUGGUUUUGAUUUGAAAGGCGCUUUCGGGUGUCGCUGAUGGAUGGACCCGCGGUGCAUUAGCUAGUUGGUGAGGUAACGGCUCACCAAGGCCACGAUGCAUAGCCGACCUGAGAGGGUGAUCGGCCACAUUGGGACUGAGACACGGCCCAAACUCCUACGGGAGGCAGCAGUAGGGAAUCUUCGGCAAUGGACGAAAGUCUGACCGAGCAACGCCGCGUGAGUGAAGAAGGUUUUCGGAUCGUAAAACUCUGUUGUUAGAGAAGAACAAGGAUGAGAGUAACUGUUCAUCCCUUGACGGUAUCUAACCAGAAAGCCACGGCUAACUACGUGCCAGCAGCCGCGGUAAUACGUAGGUGGCAAGCGUUGUCCGGAUUUAUUGGGCGUAAAGCGAGCGCAGGCGGUUUCUUAAGUCUGAUGUGAAAGCCCCCGGCUCAACCGGGGAGGGUCAUUGGAAACUGGGAGACUUGAGUGCAGAAGAGGAGAGUGGAAUUCCAUGUGUAGCGGUGAAAUGCGUAGAUAUAUGGAGGAACACCAGUGGCGAAGGCGGCUCUCUGGUCUGUAACUGACGCUGAGGCUCGAAAGCGUGGGGAGCAAACAGGAUUAGAUACCCUGGUAGUCCACGCCGUAAACGAUGAGUGCUAAGUGUUGGAGGGUUUCCGCCCUUCAGUGCUGCAGCUAACGCAUUAAGCACUCCGCCUGGGGAGUACGACCGCAAGGUUGAAUAGAAAAAAAAAAUAAUUAAAGCUUC